UGGAGUGUCUUGUGCAGGGAGUCUAGGAGGAGCCACAGUAGAUGGUCCAACGUUUGGAAUGGAUAAGAUUUCUGUAGCGGAAGGUGAAGGAGGAGAUAUAGUAGACUCCCUAAAGGCCGGCAUGGGUAAAACCUCAGAUAUAUCCAUAUGGUCAGAAUGGUCAGAAGAGGUAAAGAAAGGUUUAGACUCAAAAAAGGUGACAUCGGCCGA
Molecule: long non-coding RNA, 210 nt
Filed under: Nicotiana benthamiana
Lineage: Eukaryota; Viridiplantae; Streptophyta; Magnoliopsida; Solanales; Solanaceae
Description: long non-coding RNA (NBEN_LNC000329)
Source: RNAcentral